Molecule: ribosomal RNA, 506 nt
Filed under: uncultured bacterium
Lineage: Bacteria
Description: partial 16S ribosomal RNA
Rfam family: Bacterial small subunit ribosomal RNA
Source: RNAcentral
AUUGAACGCCGGCGGCAGGCCUAACACAUGCAAGUCGAACGGUAACAGGAAGCAGCUUGCUGCUUCGCUGACGAGUGGCGGACGGGUGAGUAAUGUCUGGGAAACUGCCCGAUGGAGGGGGAUAACUACUGGAAACGGUAGCUAAUACCGCAUAACGUCGCAAGACCAGAGAGGGGGACCUUCGGGCCUCUUGCCAUCGGAUGUGCCCAGAUGGGAUUAGCUUGUUGGUGAGGUAACGGCUCACCAAGGCGACGAUCCCUAGCUGGUCUGAGAGGAUGACCAGCCACACUGGAACUGAGACACGGUCCAGACUCCUACGGGAGGCAGCAGUGGGGAAUAUUGCACAAUGGGCGCAAGCCUGAUGCAGCCAUGCCGCGUGUAUGAAGAAGGCCUUCGGGUUGUAAAGUACUUUCAGCAGGGAGGAAGGUGUUGUGGUUAAUAACCGCAGCAAUUGACGUUACCCGCAGAAGAAGCACCGGCUAACUCCGUGCCAGCCGCCGCCGUAA